Xyrichtys novacula (pearly razorfish) is the source of this 188-nucleotide non-coding RNA. NCBI's taxonomy places the organism in Eukaryota, Metazoa, Chordata, Actinopteri, Labriformes, Labridae. The record is from the annotation of a GenBank genome assembly.
ACAGGGACAAGCCGAACAAUGAAGAGAGAGAGCGUUACCUAAGCAAAAUUGCAAACGUUGCUCGAUGAAAGUUGGCAUCUCGAAACCAACUUCUGACCAUACAGUGUGUUCAUAUGGGUCGAGUCCAACAAUGUCCGCAAUUUUGCUUAGGCAACGCUCUCUCUCUUCAUUGUUCAGCUUGUCCCUGU